AUUUCUCACUGUUGUGAAUCUUCAGAAUUGUCACUGCUACAUCUGCCACGGUCCGAGGGGGGAAGGGAAAUGGGGCCGGGCACUGCAAUAAGGGUUCACAGCACAGUUGGGGUUCGUGCAGCAAUGCCUGUUUAUUUAGGGGGAACAAGGGUUUAAAUAAAGUAGGUCUGAGGGGCGGAUUCUAAACUGGGGAGGCGCAAGAGAUUGACAACUCAGGGAAAAGUGUGAUAGGGAGACAGGAGAAAGGUGGGUGGAACUCCCGGGUCUCUAGGGGAAUGGGCCAAUGGUAGCUCUCCCUGCACUGUGGCAAACUGUAACCAAUCAGUGGCAGAGGAGCGGGAAAACUGGGAAAACAGGGUGACAAAUAACUUUUGGAGGGAAAAUCUGAGGGAGAACUGGGGACAAUAUGGAGUUCACAGAGGAAACCCCAUGAAAUGCACUGAGUAUGGCCAGUCUUUGCGAGCGAAGAUUUGGGAAAGGUCUUUACCCUUCGAGCCUGCGCAGUGGAUUUUUUAGAGGGACACUACAAGUCCAUCCUCCUAAGGGCUGCUCAGUCAACUGCUUUUGAGUGUCCAAGUGACCCCCUCAAAUAUAUUUGUUUCUGCUGACAAUAAACAAGUCCAGAGCACCUCAGAUGGAGACAAACAGCUCAUGGAUGUCUGAGUCUACCUGGGGUGAGACAUUCUCCUGCACUGCUUCUUGGGGUCACCACAGGGACAGGGUAAGGACCAUCUGCACCAAAAGUAAAAGCCUCUGUGCUGCAGCCUGGAAGAGCAACUCCUUUCCUCUUUCAGAAGGAUAUUUGCUUUUCUCAUGGAAAAUCUCUUCAUCCUCUAGAUACU
Molecule: long non-coding RNA, 842 nt
Organism: Lepidothrix coronata (blue-crowned manakin)
Lineage: Eukaryota; Metazoa; Chordata; Aves; Passeriformes; Pipridae
Exons: 3
Source: RefSeq, a predicted model, not a curated record